Hemicordylus capensis (graceful crag lizard) is the source of this 728-nucleotide long non-coding RNA. RefSeq lists it as uncharacterized. NCBI's taxonomy places the organism in Eukaryota, Metazoa, Chordata, Lepidosauria, Squamata, Cordylidae. The transcript is spliced from 2 exons. The record is from RefSeq and is a predicted model, not a curated record.
GGCUGUGUAAUAGAAGAGUCCCGUCCCAUUCCACCAUCCCCCCCCCCACACACACACCAGAGAGGAGACUUGCUUUUCCCCUCUUGCCCGCAUCAGCGUCGCUGGGAGAUCUGGUAUUCUCCAAUGUAAUAGGCCUUGCAUCAGUCCUAGAACAUGGAAGACAUCUUAAGAGCAAUAUAUGCUUUUUCUUGGAAUCCUCUUCUGACUUUUCAGUUGUAUCUCUGCAAUCAGGAGGGCUGCACCCCACCCCACCCCACCAUUAUCUGGAUUAACAAUAGAGUCUAUCAUCACCUUGUGAGAUAUAUGAUGCCCAUGAUUUUGUAAAUCAUUACGAAAUAUUGCCUCUGUUUUAAACUAAGAAAACCAUUUUGUUUGCAAGUCUUUUGAGAUUAAAUACCCAAGUAUUUUGUAUUGUAUAUGGGGGGCCCAAUCCAGAUCAGGAAUUUGGCAGGGACAAAAGGUUAGCCUCCCAUGCUCCUUCCAGAUCACCUACAACCCUAUCCUCUGCAGCUGCUGUUUAUCAAAUAAAAGUUAAGCCUGUCAUUGCUAAUGAUGGGCCUAACAUAAUAGGUAGUUUGGCCCUAAAGCUUUAGAUGACUGAUGUACCAGCAAAACAUGCAGCCCUCUUCUUGAAUCAUGCUUGCUUUGCCCUAGCUUGUUUUUGUUUUGAUUGGUUUAAUCUACAGUGCUGAAAUAAAAAUGUCCCCAUCUCUGACAACUUGUAAAAA